This 1483-nucleotide ribosomal RNA is filed under the name uncultured rumen bacterium. RNAcentral's name for it is "bacterial SSU rRNA". It matches the Rfam family "Bacterial small subunit ribosomal RNA". The record is from RNAcentral.
AGAGUUUGAUCCUGGCUCAGGACGAACGCUGGCGGCGUGCCUAACACAUGCAAGUCGAGCGGAGAUAACAUGCUUUGGCGUGUUAUUUCAGCGGCGGACGGGUGAGUAACGCGUGAAGGACCUGCCCCUUACAGAGGGAUAACAUCGAGAAAUCGGUGCUAAUACCGCAUAAGACCACGGUGCUGCAUGGCACAGGGGUAAAAGGAGAAAUCCGGUAAGGGAUGGCUUCGCGUCCCAUUAGAUAGUAGGCGGGGUAACGGCCCACCUAGUCGACGAUGGGUAGCCGACCUGAGAGGGUGAUCGGCCACACUGGAACUGAGACACGGUCCAGACUCCUACGGGAGGCAGCAGUGGGGAAUAUUGGGCAAUGGGCGAAAGCCUUACCCAGCAACGCCGCGUGAGAGAAGAAGGUUUUCGGAUUGUAAAUCUCUGUCCUGGGGGACGAAGGAAGUGACGGUACCCCGGGAGGAAGCCCCGGCUAACUACGUGCCAGCAGCCGCGGUAAUACGUAGGGGGCGAGCGUUGUCCGGAAUUAUUGGGCGUAAAGGGCGUGUAGGUGGCCAGAUAAGCGUAAUGUGGAAGUCCAUAUUUCAAGUAUGGAAGUGCGCUAUGAACUGUCUGGCUUGAGUGCAGGAGAGGGAAGCGGAAUUCCCAGUGUAGCGGUGAAAUGCGUAGAGAUUGGGAGGAACACCAGUGGCGAAGGCGACUUACUGGACUGUAACUGACGCUGAGGCGCGAAAGUGUGGGGAGCAAACAGGAUUAGAUACCCUGGUAGUCCACACUGUAAACGAUGAAUGCUAGGUGUAGGGGGUAUCGACCCCUUCUGUGCCGCAGUUAACACAAUAAGCAUUCCGCCUGGGGAGUACGGCCGCAAGGUUGAAACUCAAAGGAAUUGACGGGGGCCCGCACAAGCAGCGGAGCAUGUGGUUUAAUUCGACGCAACGCGAAGAACCUUACCAGGUCUUGACAUCCAGUAAAACUUGCAGAGAUGCAUCGUGAGCUUGCUCAUACUGAGACAGGUGGUGCAUGGUUGUCGUCAGCUCGUGUCGUGAGAUGUUGGGUUAAGUCCCGCAACGAGCGCAACCCUUAUUUUCAGUUACUAACACGUAAAGGUGAGGACUCUGAAGAGACUGCCGGGGACAACUCGGAGGAAGGUGGGGACGACGUCAAAUCAUCAUGCCCCUUAUGACCUGGGCUACACACGUGCUACAAUGGCCACCACAGAGAGGAGCGAACCUGCGAGGGGGAGCGGAUCUCAAAAAAGUGGUCCCAGUUCGGAUUGUGGGCUGCAACCCGCCCACAUGAAGUCGGAGUUGCUAGUAAUCGCGGAUCAGCAUGCCGCGGUGAAUACGUUCCCGGGCCUUGUACACACCGCCCGUCACACCAUGGGAGUUGGGAGUGCCCAAAGUCGGUGAGGUAACCGCAAGGAGCCAGCCGCCUAAGGCAAGACCAAUGACUGGGGUGAAGUCGUAACAAGGUAACC